This 860-nucleotide ribosomal RNA is filed under the name Cuscuta legitima. RNAcentral describes it as "eukaryotic LSU rRNA". It matches the Rfam family "Eukaryotic large subunit ribosomal RNA", at positions 65 to 930 of the family's 3401-position model. Lineage: Eukaryota; Viridiplantae; Streptophyta; Magnoliopsida; Solanales; Convolvulaceae. The record is from RNAcentral.
CUUACAAGGAUUGCCUUAGUAACGGCGAGUGAACCGGCAACAGCCCAGCCUUAGAAUCGAAUGGUCUUGCUGUUCGAAUUGUGGUCUGGAGAAGCGUCCUCAGCGGCGGACUGGGCCCAAGUCACCUGGAAAGGUGCGCCGUAGAGGGUGAGAGCCCCGUCGGGCCUAGACCCUGUCGCGCCACGAGGUGCUGUCUUGGAGUCGGGUUGUUUGGGAAUGCAGCCCUAAUUGGGUGGUGAAUUUCGUCCAAGGCUAAAUAUAGGCGAGAGCCCGAUAGCGAACAAGUACCGCGAGGGAAAGAUGAAAAGAACUUUGAAAAAAGAGUCAAAGAGUGCUUGAAAUUGCCGAGAGGGAAGCGCAUGGAGGCCGGCGGUAGGCCCAGGUUGGAUGUGGAACGGCGAUUAGCCGGUCUGCCGAUAGACUGUGGGCAUGGAUCAACGAGAAUUUGGGUGGCGGUUGAAGCUUGGGCAGUUGAUACGCCCAGGGGAUGCCGGCUCUUAGAUUGUGGGAUGCAGAACACGUUCGGCGUGCUUCGGCACCUGUGUUCUCCGGUCGUUGACUUGUGGGCUCUCCAAUCGACCCGUCUUGAAACACGGACCAAGGAGUCUUACAUGUUUGCGAGUCUGCGGGCCAAAAAACUCGUGGGGCGUAAGGAAGCUGAUUGGCGGGAUCCCUCGCGGGGGUGCACCGUCGACUGACCUUGAUCUUUUGAGAAGGGUUCAAGUGUGAGCAUACCUGUUGGGACCCGAAAGAUGGUGAACUAUGCCUGAGCGGGGUGAAGCCAGAGGAAACUCUGGUGGAGGCCCGUAGCGAUACUGACGUGCAAAUCGUUCGUCUGACUUGGGUAUAGGGGCGAAAGA